AGAUACCCUUCUGGGGCAAGACUUGCUUCAGUGGGGCUUUGUUGCUCACUGAGUCUCCCCCCUGAGUGUGUCCCU
Molecule: microRNA precursor, 75 nt
Filed under: Myotis lucifugus (little brown bat)
Lineage: Eukaryota; Metazoa; Chordata; Mammalia; Chiroptera; Vespertilionidae
Description: mir-9229 microRNA precursor family
Rfam family: mir-9229 microRNA precursor family
Source: Rfam by way of RNAcentral